AAGUCGUAACAAGGUUUCCGUAGGUGAACCUGCGGAAGGAUCAUUAACACGUAUCCAAACGUUAAAACAACCCUGUGAACCUUCAGCGUGUUCUUGCAGGGCAUCAAAACAGCAAUCCCGAGUAAAUCAGGCGCUAAAGAAUUACAGAUUUUGAUUUUGGGAAGUUCUGUGUGUACGUGGACGCUGCAAUUGAGCGCUAGAUAAAGCACCCCAGGGAUCAAUGUUCAGGGUGGCGCAGUCAACGAUCGCUGUAGGUCCACACGACCGGCGACCGGGGUGGAGGCGAAAGCCCCUACGUCAUCCCUAUGUACCCUCCGGGACUUGGCGAAAGCUGACUCCGUCAUAAAUCGAACAACUGUUAACAAUGGAUAUCUUGGUUCUC
Molecule: unclassified non-coding RNA, 382 nt
Filed under: fungal sp.
Lineage: Eukaryota; Fungi
Description: partial internal transcribed spacer region
Rfam family: Eukaryotic small subunit ribosomal RNA (bases 1-46)
Source: RNAcentral